Molecule: long non-coding RNA, 291 nt
Organism: Amphimedon queenslandica
Lineage: Eukaryota; Metazoa; Porifera; Demospongiae; Haplosclerida; Niphatidae
Exons: 3
Source: RefSeq, a predicted model, not a curated record
ACUUGUCUCAAGAAAAGUUAUGGAAACUGUUAGUGGAAGAUGUACUUCAGCAUUUCCUGUACACAUUGGAAUAUAAUUCUGUAACUCACAUGUGUACUACUUGUGGUGUUAGCAAAGUCUCUCUUCUCAGGGAAUUCUGUAACAAAACAGGAGUACAGAUUACAUUGAAGGAUUACAAAUUUUCCUUGACUGCUCCAUUCAACGAAGGUGAUUGUGCCUGUAUUGUACCUGUUGUUAAGCACACUGAUUUUAAAGUGAGACAAAACUUCAUUUAUUACUGCUUUGUACUGU